GAUGAACGCUGGCGGCGUGCCUAAUACAUGCAAGUCGAGCGAACAGACGAGGAGCUUGCUCCUCUGAUGUUAGCGGCGGACGGGUGAGUAACACGUGGAUAACCUACCUAUAAGACUGGGAUAACUUCGGGAAACCGGAGCUAAUACCGGAUAACAUGUUGAACCGCAUGGUUCAACAGUGAAAGACGGUCUUGCUGUCACUUAUAGAUGGAUCCGCGCCGCAUUAGCUAGUUGGUAAGGUAACGGCUUACCAAGGCAACGAUGCGUAGCCGACCUGAGAGGGUGAUCGGCCACACUGGAACUGAGACACGGUCCCGACUCCUAAGGGAGGCAGCAGUAGGGAAUCUUCCGCAAUGGGCGAAAGCCUGACGGAGCAACGCCGCGUGAGUGAAGAAGGUCUUCGGAUCGUAAAACUCUGUUAUUAGGGAAGAACAAAUGUGUAAGUAACUAUGCACGUCUUGACGGUACCUAAUCAGAAAGCCACGGCUAACUACGUG
This 497-nucleotide ribosomal RNA is filed under the name uncultured bacterium. RNAcentral describes it as "partial 16S ribosomal RNA". It matches the Rfam family "Bacterial small subunit ribosomal RNA", at positions 28 to 507 of the family's 1533-position model. The record is from RNAcentral.